UAUACUCACUUCUUUAUAGGU
RNAcentral lists this non-coding RNA (21 nucleotides) under Caenorhabditis elegans. Lineage: Eukaryota; Metazoa; Nematoda; Chromadorea; Rhabditida; Rhabditidae. The record is from RNAcentral.